CUGAGAGAUCGAUACUAUCAUGCCUCAGAUCCUAUUGGGGUAGACAGUCACCCGUAGCCAUGAAGGCCCGAGAGAACCAACCCAUAACCUUCGAAUUCACAUUAAUGCAACUAUAAUAGGCAAAGGUUUUGUCAUCUACUGAUAUAAUGUCUUAAUAAAAAAAAUAUAAACAACAAGCCCUAAAACUAUAUACAUAAUAGACUUGGCCGUUGGAGCCAUAACAUCUACAAGAUAACACACUAUCAUGCUUAACUUUACAUUGGUCUACAAAGCCUCUAGACGAUACAUAGAACUUAGCUAAGGUCGGGACAAACCCCCGUCAUACUAUUAACUUUUAUACAAUACCAAAAAUAUAUAGAACCGACUCGAAAAGCCCCAAAGGAUACUGGAGCUCACCACUAGCAGAUGGAUAUCCUGGUCUUCUACUAAGGAGGCGCAUUUUCCGAAGCACCUGUGCCUGUAGCAUGAAAUAUAGGUCCCCCAUAAGGAGAGUCAGUACGAAAAUAUGUACUGAGUAUGCAAGGUAGAAAAGUGACAAUACAAGAUACAAAGGUUCAACAAAAAUCUAGAGCAAGUAUAAAAAUAGUGCUAGAGACCACCUUUACAUUUACUUGUGGAAUAGGGUACAUUACAUUACUUUCCUUCUUUUACCUUUUUACUUCAUUAUCUUUGUAAUCCAUAUGAUACGAAUGACCAGCUGAUCAGUGGUAAAUAAAAAAUUAGGAUUGGCCCAUGCUAGGCUUAUGCCCUAUAUCUGCCACUUUUAAAUAAACACUGGGAUCGGCCUAUGCUAGGCUUAUGCCCCUGAGCUGCCACCCGUUUUACAAAUUUCCAUUACUUAGUUUAAUUAGCCUUUGAGAUUGUUACUUCGGUGUUCAUAACAUUAUGGUACCUUGAAACAAUGAUCUAUCAAUAAGAGACAUGUAAAUAGGCAAUCAAUGCAAUAACAAUGAACUAAGGAGUUGUUGGUACGCUAAUGAAGUGUUUAGGAGCUAAAAAUAACACAUGGGUCUUAUUUGAGUAACUAGAGAAAUUCUGAAAUUUACCGGUUAAAAUAGACAUGUAGGAUUGGUAGCAAGCAUGUAUUGAGGUCUUUUAACUCAAUAUAGAGUGGGAUCAAGUUCAUUAGUAACAUGGGAUAUCAUACGGUGCUAUUAUGUAUCACGUGUUAUAGGAUAAUCUUGGAAGCUUGCUCGAUGGAACAAGUGUCCGUUUUUAUGCCAAGAGUGCAAAAUAGAGUAUGCCUUACAUACCUGGUUGUAAAACUCCAAUACCAAAACAACUCGACUCUCUGCCCUUUUAGAUUACUUAUAUACAAUGAAAUAUAUGCCAAACUAAUAUUAGCAACCAAACAUCACAUUUUGGCUAUUUAACUUCAUCAAACUAGUGGCCGGGAAGUAAGCCCUUAAUUUAUCAACAAAGGAUAUCAAUUUAACCAUCUUAUACUCCAAUUACAUACACAUACCAUACAUAUUCACAUUAUCUCCCCCGACACAACUUUGGCUUCAUUACACCUCCCAACCAAGACACAAAGCGAAAUGAGCAAUAGACGUACGCAAUCAUUAACUCAGUGGUGUAUCACCAUAUCCAUAUUCUAUAGUUCAAUACAAACUAAUCACACCUUUUUCCAAUAGCAACCGUGCAGCCCCCAACCCAAACACACAAAACAGUCCGCAACAACACUCCAAUCAUCCUUUAACAGCAACAAAAUAUGUGUAAUCCUCCAUCAACACAUGUAUAUGGAAAAGGGACAAAAGUGGACAGAAACCAUACCUUUAUUUCCUUGGUAGUUUAGUACUUAAUGUGUAUUUAUUCAAUAAAUUAAUCCCUUCACACAUACACCAAAAGAGAAAAGAGAAAUCCCUUUAUAACUAAGAACAAUUGACUAUCAAAACUUAAAGAGAGGGCUGUCCGGAAAUUAAUCUUGAAGAACACAUAGUUUCCUUAGUACAAGCUCAUGAAUUAUUAAAAUACCUUUAGCUUGGAAGGAAGGUCAAACCCAAGAACCCUUGUGGAACUAUAGGGUUACUUCAUAGCCAAGAGAGAACAAGAGAGAAAAAACUAGAAAGCUGAAAUUUUUGUCUGGGUUGAAAUGAGAAAAAAUUGCUGAUUUCCAAUCCAUAUAUAGAAGCUUCUCUUUGACG
RNAcentral lists this long non-coding RNA (2144 nucleotides) under Capsicum annuum. RNAcentral describes it as "long non-coding RNA (CANN_LNC002521)". The record is from RNAcentral. Lineage: Eukaryota; Viridiplantae; Streptophyta; Magnoliopsida; Solanales; Solanaceae.